Molecule: ribosomal RNA, 465 nt
Filed under: Vreelandella stevensii
Lineage: Bacteria; Pseudomonadati; Pseudomonadota; Gammaproteobacteria; Oceanospirillales; Halomonadaceae
Description: partial 16S ribosomal RNA
Rfam family: Bacterial small subunit ribosomal RNA
Source: RNAcentral
CCUACGGGGGGCAGCAGUGGGGAAUAUUGGACAAUGGGGGGAACCCUGAUCCAGCCAUGCCGCGUGUGUGAAGAAGGCCCUCGGGUUGUAAAGCACUUUCAGUGAGGAAGAACGCCUGGUGGUUAAUACCCAUCAGGAAAGACAUCACUCACAGAAGAAGCACCGGCUAACUCCGUGCCAGCAGCCGCGGUAAUACGGAGGGUGCGAGCGUUAAUCGGAAUUACUGGGCGUAAAGCGCGCGUAGGUGGCUUGAUAAGCCGGUUGUGAAAGCCCCGGGCUCAACCUGGGAACGGCAUCCGGAACUGUCAAGCUAGAGUGCAGGAGAGGAAGGUAGAAUUCCCGGUGUAGCGGUGAAAUGCGUAGAGAUCGGGAGGAAUACCAGUGGCGAAGGCGGCCUUCUGGACUGACACUGACACUGAGGUGUGAAAGCGUGGGUAGCAAACAGGAUUAGAUACCCUAGUAGUC